AGAGCGAACGCUGGCGGCAGGCCUAAUACAUGCAGGUCGAGCGGCCACUUCGGUGGCAGCGGCGGACGGGUGAGUAACGCGUGGGAAUGUGCCCUUUGGUACGGAACAACUGAGGGAAACUUCAGCUAAUACCGUAUGUGCCCUUCGGGGGAAAGAUUUAUUGCCAUUGGAGCAGCCCGCGUUGGAUUAGCUAGUUGGUGGGUAAAGCCCACCAAGGCGACGAUCCAUAGCUGGUCUGAGAGGAUGAUCAGCCACACUGGGACUGAGACACGGCCCAGACUCCUACGGGAGGCAGCAGUAGGGAAUCUUGCGCAAUGGGCGAAAGCCUGACGCAGCCAUGCCGCGUGAAUGAUGAAGGUCUUGGGAUUGUAAAAUUCUUUCACCGGGAAGAUAAUGACGGUACCCGGAGAAGAAGCCCCGGCUAACUUCGUGCCAGCAGCCGC
This 443-nucleotide ribosomal RNA is filed under the name uncultured soil bacterium. RNAcentral describes it as "bacterial SSU rRNA". It matches the Rfam family "Bacterial small subunit ribosomal RNA", at positions 26 to 518 of the family's 1533-position model. The record is from RNAcentral.